Molecule: ribosomal RNA, 274 nt
Filed under: uncultured bacterium
Lineage: Bacteria
Description: partial 16S ribosomal RNA
Rfam family: Bacterial small subunit ribosomal RNA
Source: RNAcentral
AUACGGAGGGUCCAAGCGUUAUCCGGAAUCAUUGGGUUUAAAGGGUCCGUAGGCGGGAAUCUAAGUCAGUGGUGAAAUCUUGCAGCUCAACUGUAAAAUUGCCAUUGAUACUGGAUUUCUUGAAUUAGUGUGAAGUGGUUAGAAUGUGUAGUGUAGCGGUGAAAUGCAUAGAUAUUACACAGAAUACCAAUUGCGAAGGCAGAUCACUAACACUAUAUUGACGCUAAGGGACGAAAGCGUGGGGAGCGAACAGGAUUAGAAACCCGUGUAGUCC